AAAAUAUUUCCAAGCUUCCCUUCAUCAAUGGCCUCCACCACUUUCUCAAUAUCUUCUCCAGGGCUAACCUUCUUUGCUCCACUCAACAGUUGAGUCCCCACUUCAUUUCUCACGAAUCGGUAGAUUGGGUAAGUGCUGCAUUUCUUGAUUCUAUUUUCAAUUUCGAAAUCACCAUUCUCGAAUCUCCCUCUUGCAUUUUCAACAUCUUUUUCCAAUUUCGCCUUUAAUUCCUCGAGAAACUCUGGAAUUUGCUUGAAUAUGGCAAUCCCUGUUUCGUUUCCGUUAUCUGUUUUGCCUGUUGCAACUCCUUUCAAUGCUUUUUCAACUAGAACUUCUAGUAAUUUUGGGAUUAGGGUGUAGGAUGUGUUGGUGGGAUCGUCGAUGUAGGAGAAGACUUCCUCGCGCUCGAUUACUUGCAAGAGAUCUUUCUCACAAAAUCGUGAUUCGAGAAGUGAUCCAUACUCUGCCAUGUAGAGUGUUUUUCUGAUGGUUUGUAGAAGAGCAUUUUU
RNAcentral lists this long non-coding RNA (509 nucleotides) under Cucumis sativus (cucumber). RNAcentral's name for it is "long non-coding RNA (CSAT_LNC000401)". Lineage: Eukaryota; Viridiplantae; Streptophyta; Magnoliopsida; Cucurbitales; Cucurbitaceae. The record is from RNAcentral.